RNAcentral lists this ribosomal RNA (587 nucleotides) under uncultured bacterium. Its description in RNAcentral is "bacterial SSU rRNA". It matches the Rfam family "Bacterial small subunit ribosomal RNA", at positions 338 to 916 of the family's 1533-position model. The record is from RNAcentral.
CCUACGGGAGGCAGCAGUGGGGAAUUUUGGACAAUGGGCGAAAGCCUGAUCCAGCAAUGCCGCGUGAGUGAAGAAGGCCUUCGGGUUGUAAAGCUCUUUUGUCAGGGAAGAAACGGUGAGAGCUAAUAUCUCUUGCUAAUGACGGUACCUGAAGAAUAAGCACCGGCUAACUACGUGCCAGCAGCCGCGGUAAUACGUAGGGUGCAAGCGUUAAUCGGAAUUACUGGGCGUAAAGCGUGCGCAGGCGGUUUUGUAAGUCUGAUGUGAAAUCCCCGGGCUCAACCUGGGAAUUGCAUUGGAGACUGCAAGGCUAGAAUCUGGCAGAGGGGGGUAGAAUUCCACGUGUAGCAGUGAAAUGCGUAGAUAUGUGGAGGAACACCGAUGGCGAAGGCAGCCCCCUGGGUCAAGAUUGACGCUCAUGCACGAAAGCGUGGGGAGCAAACAGGAUUAGAUACCCUGGUAGUCCACGCCCUAAACGAUGUCUACUAGUUGUCGGGUCUUAAUUGACUUGGUAACGCAGCUAACGCGUGAAGUAGACCGCCUGGGGAGUACGGUCGCGAAGAUUAAAACGUCGAAAGGAUUGACGG